This 253-nucleotide ribosomal RNA is filed under the name uncultured bacterium. Its description in RNAcentral is "partial 16S ribosomal RNA". It matches the Rfam family "Bacterial small subunit ribosomal RNA", at positions 524 to 776 of the family's 1533-position model. The record is from RNAcentral.
UACGAAGGGGGCUAGCGUUGCUCGGAAUCACUGGGCGUAACGGGUGCGUAGGCGGUUCUUUAAGUCAGGGGUGAAAUCCUGGAGCUCAACUCCAGAACUGCCUUUGAUACUGAAGAUCUUGAGUUCGGGAGAGGUGAGUGGAACUGCGAGUGUAGAGGUGAAAUUCGUAGAUAUUGGGAAGAACACCGGUAGCGAAGGCGGCGCUCUGGACCGAGACUGACGCUGAGGCGCGAAAGCGUGGGGAGCAAACAGG